This 499-nucleotide ribosomal RNA is filed under the name uncultured bacterium. Its description in RNAcentral is "partial 16S ribosomal RNA". It matches the Rfam family "Bacterial small subunit ribosomal RNA", at positions 28 to 507 of the family's 1533-position model. The record is from RNAcentral.
GACGAACGCUGGCGGCGUGCCUAAUACAUGCAAGUCGAGCGGACUGACUGGGAGCUUGCUCUUGUUCGGUCAGCGGCGGACGGGUGAGUAACACGUGGGCAACCUGCCCGCAAGACCGGGAUAACUCCGGGAAACCGGAGCUAAUACCGGAUAACACCGAAGACCGCAUGGUCUUUGGUUGAAAGGCGGCGCAAGCUGCCACUUGCGGAUGGGCCCGCGGCGCAUUAGCUAGUUGGUGAGGUAACGGCUCACCAAGGCGACGAUGCGUAGCCGGCCUGAGAGGGUGACCGGCCACACUGGGACUGAGACACGGCCCAGACUCCUACGGGAGGCAGCAGUAGGGAAUCUUCCGCAAUGGGCGAAAGCCUGACGGAGCGACGCCGCGUGAGCGAAGAAGGCCUUCGGGUCGUAAAGCUCUGUUGUGAGGGACGAAGGAGCGCCGUUUGAAGAAGGCGGCGCGGUGACGGUACCUCACGAGGAAGCCCCGGCUAACUACGUG